GACGAACCGUGCGAACGUUGUUCGGAAUCACUGGGCUUAAAGGGCGCGUAGGCGGGCCGGACGGUCCGGGGUGAAAUCCCCCCGCUCAACGGGGGAACGGCCCCGGACACCGCCGGCCUCGAGGAAGGUAGGGGCGAGCGGAACGCUGGGUGGAGCGGUGAAAUGCGUUGAUAUCCAGCGGAACUCCGGUGGCGAAGGCGGCUCGCUGGGCCUUUUCUGACGCUGAGGCGCGAAAGCCAGGGGAGCGAACGGG
This 253-nucleotide ribosomal RNA is filed under the name uncultured bacterium. Its description in RNAcentral is "partial 16S ribosomal RNA". It matches the Rfam family "Bacterial small subunit ribosomal RNA", at positions 524 to 776 of the family's 1533-position model. The record is from RNAcentral.